GGUCGGAGGGAGUGUGGGCUGGGGAUAUCGGUGCUGGUGUCGGGCAAGAGAAGGGGCUGGAGUUAUCGGGAAGGGAGGAGAGCUGAGGGCCCUCCUUCUGGCAGUCUUGGCCGCAGAAGCGCCGUGCCUUGCUGCGGGGGGUGGGAUGGGUUUCUGUAAGGUCACGCCUCCCUCCUGGAGGGCUCAAAAGCAAAUAGUCAAAAACCCAGCCGGUGGGUCCCCUCAAAGUAACGGGGGGAAAGCAGGGAGAAGGCUGUGCCCAUCCAGACUGCGUUGAGUUUCUCGCUCUGACAGAGCAAGUGGUCUAAUGUAUCGGAUACAGCUUGAUUUUUGUGAGGCAUUUGGCACCGUCUCGGGGCAGCCUCCUGACCCCGGUGUGUGCCCAGGGAUUUGCACACCCGCUCCUGGGACUCCCGCGGGCACUCCGGCAGGGCUCCGUCCCUCUUCGGUGGAUGCCUUGGAUGAUGCAAUAGGCAGCACAGAUUACAAAUGAAAUCUGGGACAGGAUUAGGGUGUACUGUUUAAGGGCAGGAAGCUGAACCCAAGACAAGCAGUACCCAAAGUAAAAUACAGAGUAAAACAAACACACAACACUUAAAAAAAAAAAAGAAAUUGAUUUCUUGGGAAAUUGAUUUUUCCAAUGAAUACACUAAUGAUGUAUUAAUAGUAAUGUAAUGGCAGAGUUCCUAUGUGGUUUUUAAAGCCACGGCAUUAUCCCAUGCAGUGCAAGCAUUAUGAUCUUAAAACAACAUAGCUAUCUUUAAAACCAUAAAGCAGUUGAUAAAAAAAGUUAUGCAUGUUCUUUAGUAGCAGUUCAAUUUGGGAAAGAUUCAGUAUGAAUUGUAUUAGGUGAAUCUCAAGCAUUUUUACCCAUGCCAUCUGACUCAGUUAAUGUGAACUGUACAAUCUGCCCUUUGAUUUUCUCUAUAAAUGUUUAGUUUGCCAGCAGCCAUUCACCACUGUAACUAAAACUGCAAGCUACGUGAAAUUUAUUUGUGCAUUAUUUUCCCAGUGAUAGUUUCUUAGUGCUUCGGUCACAAAUAAAAGUCAGAGGUGGCCGUGCUCCAAGUCUGCUGCCAGCUGGCCUAAGGACAGAGAUGACCAUGUGGGGACAUGAGGAGCUCCAAAUACAGCUGGAGGCAGUUCUAAGCAAUGCCUUGUUGCAUAAUAACAAAUUCAGGUGAAUAGUCUGGACCAACUCUGGAGCACCAAAAAAACGUGAUGAAAAGAUAAAGAGGCUUAAAGUAGAAUCAUGUCUAAGAUUCCAUAUGAAAAAAGAUAAUUUCUGAAAGCUGGACUGCCCCUCAUGUCUUUCUUAAUAAAUAUUACUGUAAAGAAUAGAAAACUGCAGCAAGCAACACAGAAAAGUGGAAAAUAACAGAGUCAUGAAUAGGACCUGAUAGAGUCCAAGUCAGACAAAACCCUGACAGAAUACCCAAAGGCUUUUUGCAAUUGUUUUCUGUGCAACAGUUUUACCUUUGCAGGACUUUUAAUAUAUUCAUGAUAAAAAUAAGACAUUAACUGCUUUGCCUAUUGUUUAUUGUUUAGUUUUUUCCAAUUGACCCCAGCUUACAGGUCGGUAAUAGAAAUUCCUGCUAUCUUGUACUGCCUCUGCAAAAGCAGCAGGAAACUGGUGAACACCAUCCACACAACCAGGAUGCCACAGCUUGAUUUGCAGAGCUAUGUUGAGGUGUUAAAGUAAUAUUGUAAAACAAAAGUAGCUCAAACAGGGUAACUUGAGCCUCUGUUUAAAUUACUUGGUUUGGUUUGGGUUUUUCUACGGUGGAAAAUUGCAAGAGUGUUGCAUAAAAAUAUACAAUUUUAAGUCUUCUGGAGAAAACUACAGAUGUGGAGAUGAAAAGCCAGCAACAAGUCAUUGAAGAGUAUUUUUAAUUGUGUAGUCCAACAGCCAGAUUUGUAAAUUCCUGACACACACAGCAUGUGUCUGUCAAUAAAGAACUGUUCAUCUGGCUUUUUUCAGUCUCUGAUGAAAAGAUCUGAAUUAUCAGAAAUAAUCAAGUAAUUAUAGGAAAAAAUAUGUCUCUAACUGCUGUUGUUACUUUUUAUAGAAGUUCUAGACUUUAAUCCAUAAAAAGGAAGGAAGAGCAACACUUAAAAAGGAAAACCAGUAUACUUAGCCAUCUUCAGAAUUUGAGGAGGAACAUCAAUUUUGAGUAACUUCACUAGCCUACAGAGUGUAUUUUUGUCUUACUAUGCUUCUCAGUUCAUUGAGUGUUGAAGAAUUACAAAUUGACUGUGCUCUAAAUGUGUGUACUCAUUUAAGUUAGGGAAGAUAAAUCUAGGCUAUAGGGAGGGCAUUACCCCAUUAGGCAGCUUUCUAGUGACCUAUUAAUCUUAUCUAUGCAUCCAUUGUAGUCUGCACCAGACUUAGGCUACUGGAGGAAUUAGAGGAGGAGAUUUAAGUGACAGAAAGGAAAAAAAGAACUUUGUGCUUUAUUCUGUCUGAAAUUGAUCCUGAAUGUUGGGGAAAAAAAGUCAUUUUUAAGUCAUUAAUCAUAAAGUUCAGUCUAUAUAUCAAAAAUUAAAAUAAUUUUUUUUUUUUUCCUUUUUGGCUAUACUAAAUGUCAAGUGACAGAUUUCUGCCUUCACAUAUCUAUUUAUGUGCCUUAGCUGGCCUAAUUAUUACCAGUGUCCUCUGGAGCCUUGAGUAAUAACUAUUAUUGGCAGCAGUAAUACUCUGCUGAAGAAAAUAUUAAUCAGGCUUAAUUCUGCUACUAAAAAAAUUUCUCAUGAUCCUUCUCUUUAACAAACUUGAAAAAAAAAUGAGUAUAUUAUGGUAGAAAAUUUGUAUUACAGAACUAAUAAAGCAAAAUUCCCUUAGAAGGGAAAGCUUGCAAAAAAAAGGCAUCUCCAAAUUUACUAAAACUAUGUACAUCUAGCUUUAACAAAGCUUAUCCUCUUGCUCAAACAGACAGGGUCAUGAAAUUCCUGGCAUAUAACAAUCCAAGAAAAGUGUGGAGAAGUCCAAGGAUCAAGCGGUGUGGAAAUGACAGCGGUGAUGGAUAUGGGCUUCCCAAACUGAUCCAUCUACUUGAGAAUUUCCCCGUGAAGUAGGAAAUAGAGAUGUGAUGCAGCUGUGUUGGUGCUAUCCCUGGACAAGGCAUCUGACCCCCUCUCUUGCACUGAGCCCCAGCCUCUUUAGGUACUGCAAGGCUACUAUAAGGUCUUCUUAGAGCUUUCUCUUCUCCAGGCUGAACAGCCCAAACUCUCUCAGGUUGUGAACACAGGAGAGGUGCCCCAGGCCUCUGAUUGUCUUCAUGGCCCUCCCCUGGACUUACUCCAAGAGGUCCAACAUAUGCCAAAUUGCAGUGGAAAAAGAACAGGAAAACUGAAAAUAUUCAUUUUUCUUCUCACAGAUAAAUCCAACAUACCCAGCUAUCAUUUAGGCUCACUAUAUGAAAUAGGUUUCUGUCUCCUCUUCUAGCAUUGAUUAUGCAGUGUGAAGAUCCAGUACAACACUACAGAUCUUGUUUUCAGCAGAGCCUGACAAACCUGCUUGAGCCCAACAGAGCAACUGCAGCAGAGACAUGGCAAUAAAUGUGUAGGACAGAGGACAGGAUGGAGAGGCAGGAAUCUUGUGGGCCAGCUAUGCAAAAAGAAAGAAAAUGUGGAAUACACCACAGUCUGUUACACAGCUCAGAGCACAAUUCCAACAUCUUUCUUAUCAGCAAUGAUACUGGAAUAAUGGCAUAAUACUGCCCAGACUGUAAAUGGAUGUUUGAGCAGAGGCAUGUUUUAUACUAUGUGGCAUUAUGCUAUCCUUUCACCAAAGCACAGAAAAACAAGGGUGGAGAAAGAUACACAGAGCUGGUAUUUUGAGCCUGAAAGAUUACAGCCAGAUUUUUCUCAACUCUGUCCAACAAAGAGCUCUAUAUUACCAGUACAGGCACUACCCUUGCACAGCAGCAUUUACCAUGUCUCACACAUAGCCAAACACCAAAGCCAGCACAGCUUUAUGCAAAGGACAAGAUGAAGGGGAAGAAAAUACAGAAAACUUCUUCUAUAAAAGUAGCUUCUGAAAACUAAGAAGCUUAAUUUGUCUGCUGCAGUCUUUAAAGGAGUAUCUCUCUUUAACAGCUAGUAAAUCUCUGAUCUGGGACUCAGCUGCUCAACGCAUAAAAAUGGCAUAUGUCGCUGAACCUUCAGAUGCCUCAGCACCUACAGAUAUUUUAAACUCUUAAGCACUCACAAAAAGUUGUGUCCAGAUGGCAUAAGACUUAAACAUAGUUUCUCUGUCUCCUUGGGACUUGAUUAUCUCCUGCCUUGUUCUUUAAAUUGCUUUCACUGUUUGUAUCUUCUAAUUUAUGUCUCUGUAAAGCAUUGUCAUUUUGGUAAGGUGAGCUAUACACACACCUGCAAGUGGCUGCAUAGGACAUAAAGUAGCAGAAGAUUAGGUCUGUGUUUCCAAUCUGUCCUGCAGAAGGGAAAACAAUCUAGAGAUGAAAGGACAAUAGGAAUUACCACCCACUAGGACAAAAGAUAAACAAAACCAUUAUUCUCCCAUCAGUCAAGAAAGCAGGAAAAAAAUUCCAGUGUGACCUCAUGCACUUCAUCUCAGAUUGCUUUUCUCAGAUUCUAAAAUGUAGCUAGCUACAUAAUGAAAGAAAGUCCAUUAAAGUGUUUUAAGGAAUUUUUCCGGAAAGCAUAUGAACAAAUGUCAUCCUGUUACCUUCAACUGAGUGCUCAGUCACUCUAGCAAACAGCAGUAAUUCACUCUAUUGCACAUUUACCUGGCACAGCAGGUACAGCAAUGCCUACAACAAUAUAGCUGAAGUGCCAGGCAUUUGCCUUAUGCACCUGAAAAGCUGGUGGGGAGGUAAUUUCUUCUCUUAGUGCAAGAGAGAAUGCUACCAGUGCAUCUCUCGUGCUGUGAGAGAAGUACUGAAAAUGUUAAUGGCUCUCAAUGAGGAAACCAGGCCAGGCUAUCAACAGCUGCCUGUUGUGCCCCUUGCACAAGGAGAGGGGAAAGCAUUCCUUUGUCUCCUGGGGUGCAUGACAGCCUCCCCAUAAAACUACAGCUGCUGGAAAAAGUUCAGGUUUGUGACUCUGUAAUGUAUCUAAUUGGUCCUUUUUUACCAUACCUGUAGUGCUGUACAUGCAGCAGUAGGCAUUUAUAGUGUUUGUGCAUAGUUCAGACACAUAUGUGCAGCUUAUAAAAUAAACAUAUAUACCAGUGCUAGUCAGACUUCCUACAUGCUGCUAAGCAAAUGGGGCUGACUCAAAGCACAACAGAUAUGAUCCCUUUCACAAGCCAUUUUACCUCAGAAUACUUUUUUGUCUCCCAUUAGAUCUAUCCCCCUUGCCAAAUGAUAUCAAUAUUUUCAUUCUCUAAAGCAAGAUAAACACAUAAAUCCCAAUUCUCCUUAUGAAGGACUUAGAUAAAAAUGGAAAAAAGGGGGGAAAAAAGCCUGCACAAGUUUGUAACAGUCAGCUUGUUCAAAAUGUACAUUUUGAAGCUGUCCUGUGAGAAAUUAUGAUACUAAAAAAAACCUGAUUCGGCUGAGUUCAUAAAUAUGACAGUUACUGUGAAACAUUAACACUAAGUGGAUCUGCUACACUGUCUACAGACCACCCUUUAUGGUGAGUUAAAGAAAAGCAUUGGGCAUCUCUGGGAUGCUCUACACAUUAUCACAGAAGCUUUUUAACAGCUGUGGGGCUACUUUGUCCAGAAGGAGAGUAUCAGAGAGCCAUGGAAGUUGUAGAAAUAUUUCAGAUACCAAAAUACCAAAAAAGAACAUCAUCAUUAUUAAAAUGGUGUGUGAUCUAAGAGAUGCAAUCUAGUGAAUAACUUUAACCAGGACCCAGAAAAGUCCAGAAAUAGAAGUGAGAAACUAGUAAGGAAGAUGAAUAGGUUAAAAGAACUCAGCACUAACUCUGCUUGAAUGGAAUCAGUGCCUUCCAGAGGAAAAAUGCACGAUGGUUUCUUUAAAAAAAGAGUACCUACAAUCCUUUUUUAUUCAUUACCUGUUUUCAUUAAUUAAACUUAUCUCAAGUUGUUGAGAAAUAAGCACUGCCUUAUUCCAAGGAUCUGUAUACAGGUUAUUAUUAUAUAGAUUACACUGAAUAAUGGGCAAGUAGGAAUAUUUCAAUCGAUACAAAUGCUAUUACAGGGCUGGGUUUUUUUCUGUCUCUGUAUAGACAGUGCCCAGUUUGGAGUGCAGCUCCCUUCCUGGGAGUCGGCAAGGAGCAGGAAUAUAACAUAUGGAGCUGUUUGUAGAAUCAGCAUUGAAAUUUAGUCAAGCAGCUUUUGUAAUUUCAAAUUUGUUCUGACCCAGCAGAGUUUUUCCUGUUCUUAAUUAAACUUAAGAUAAACUUAAUUAUCGUCACUGUAAUAGGAACCAUAUCCAAGGGUGAUUUAGCAAAAAUGAACAUGAUAAAAACUGCCUCAUCAAAAAUGGAAAAUGUUCAAAGAUGUUAACUUUCCAAAAAGAAACAGUAAACAAGUCAUCUAAGCUGUUGAAAAAUAAUGUUUUUACCUAUUUUCACAUUAUUGUGAUUUUACAAAGACUAUCUCAUAAGCAAAAUAAUAUAUUCUAUAAUGCAUUUAGCAUUGUACCCAAAAUAAUUUCUGCCUAUUGCAAGAAAGGCAGACUUUUACUUCAGCUCCACAUAAUACAUCUCUGGGAUUCUUAAGCUGCCAGGUGUUUUAUAUAACAAUCUUAUGGAAAAAGAAAAAAGAAAAAAUAUACUCUGUUCCUAUAAAAAUAGCAGGUCUCAUUAUAUUAACACAGUCAAAGCAAUCUCAUAUGCAAAAGAAAUGAAAAUAGCUACAGCAGGUUGAUAAGGAGCAACCAGUAUAGGAAACAAAAGAAGCCAACAUAAGUGAUGAAUUUUGAAUUUUGAAUAAAAUGAAAAGUUCUGAUUAACUUAAAAUUUACAGAGUCUGAAUGCCUCAGUGAUUGCCAAUGCUAUCUGACAGCAUGUGCUACAGUCCAACCUAACUUAUUGACACGAAAAAACAUUUCCAUAUUACACAUCAUGACCAGGUGGGCAAAUGUCACUGCCAG
Molecule: long non-coding RNA, 7028 nt
Organism: Passer domesticus (house sparrow)
Lineage: Eukaryota; Metazoa; Chordata; Aves; Passeriformes; Passeridae
Exons: 7
Source: RefSeq, a predicted model, not a curated record